RNAcentral lists this ribosomal RNA (494 nucleotides) under uncultured bacterium. RNAcentral's name for it is "bacterial SSU rRNA". It matches the Rfam family "Bacterial small subunit ribosomal RNA", at positions 29 to 526 of the family's 1533-position model. The record is from RNAcentral.
AAUGAACGUUGGCGGCAUGGAUUAGGCAUGCAAGUCGCACGAGAAGUGGAGUAGCUUGCUACAAAACGGAAAGUGGCGAAAGGGAGAGUAACGCGUGGUUACAUACCUUCAGGACCAGGAUAGCGUUGGGAAACCGGCAGUAAUACUGGAUGAUAUCUUUGGAUCAAAUGGUGUGAUUCCGCCUGAAGAUUGGACUGCGUACUAUUAGCUUGUUGGCGGGGUAAUGGCCCACCAAGGCUGCGAUGGUUACCGGGUGUGAGAGCAUGGCCCGGCUCACUGGGACUGAGACACUGCCCAGACAUCUACGGAUGGCUGCAGUCGAGAAUCUUUGGCAAUGGACGAAAGUCUGACCAAGCGAUGCCGCGUGCGGGAUGAAGGCCCUCGGGUUGUAAACCGCUGUCAGUUGGAAGGAAAUAUUAUGGGGUUCUCUCCAUAGUUUGACCGAUCUUCAGAGGAAGGACGGGCUAAGUACGUGCCAGCAGCCGCCGUAAAAC